Molecule: long non-coding RNA, 914 nt
Filed under: Sorghum bicolor (sorghum)
Lineage: Eukaryota; Viridiplantae; Streptophyta; Magnoliopsida; Poales; Poaceae
Description: long non-coding RNA (SBIC_LNC011125)
Source: RNAcentral
UCAUGCGGAGGGAGUUGCCAAGGAGGAAUUUACUGCGUCGGAGGACGUUGGCGAAGGCAUCCCCAGCCUGCGCAAAUCUGUCCGGAACUUUAUCAGUUCAUUCUGGAUUAGGUUUGGGCGGGCUGAGGCGAAGAAAAUGGCGGAGGAUCGUCGAGCUGAGGUUUGUAUUAUUUGGUUAUUCAUUUGCAUUGUUUUUGUUGCUUUUCAAUGUUAUUUAAGAUAACUGUUUUGUAGGAGAUUGCGAAGAAGAAGGCUAAGGUUGAUAAGGCUGGUCCUUCGCGUCCACUAAGCGAGGCGCAUCCUCCGACUCAGGCUGAAGCGGAGGCUUUUGAUGUUGGUGCCAAAGCUCCGGAUGUAUCUGCUGCCAAGGCUUCAGAGCAGCCCGAAGCUCCUGCUCCUCCUCCGCCUCAGGUGUGAGGUUUUAUAGUUUGUAGGUUUUUUAGUUUUUUGCAUCUGCUGCGCAUGCGACGCUUUUUUUAAAGAAAAGCCGGAGGUCUUGACUUCAAUUGUAAAUACUUUGCUGGUAAUGUAAUAUAUCAGGUUGUUUUUGGAUGAACGUCUGUUUUUACGCUUUUAUCAUGCGCAGGUCUCUAGCGGAGGACCUGCGCAGGAUGUUUGCGAGACUCCGCUUUCAAUUUUCUACAAAGGAAUUUAUGUUUCUGGCGAGUUGUGGGAUUAUUGGCGGAUUGCUUUUCCUAACAUGAGAUUGGUGGAUAUGUUUGAGUUUGUUGGAUAUGACAUUGAUGACGAACGAUCUGAAUUUGUUCGGUCGCUUGCGUGCCGAGGUUCAUGGCCUCCGGCUUAGGUUGUGGUUUUUAUUUCAUGCUUUCUUUGUCGUAGGAUAUUUGUAUAUUUUUUGUCAUGACUUGGUUUGAUGUGUUUAUGCAGCUGUCUUAUCCUAUCCUUCGCAUCUU